Molecule: ribosomal RNA, 292 nt
Filed under: uncultured bacterium
Lineage: Bacteria
Description: partial 16S ribosomal RNA
Rfam family: Bacterial small subunit ribosomal RNA
Source: RNAcentral
GUGCCAGCAGCCGCGGUAAUACGGGGGGGGCAAGCGUUGUUCGGAAUUACUGGGCGUAAAGGGCUCGUAGGCGGCCGUUUUAGUCCGACGUGAAAUCCCACGGCUCAACCGUGGAACUGCGUCGGAUACUGAAUGGCUUGAAUCCAAGAGAGGGAUGCGGAAUUCCAGGUGUAGCGGUGAAAUGCGUAGAUAUCUGGAGGAACACCGGUGGCGAAGGCGGCAUCCUGGAUUGGUAUUGACGCUGAGGAGCGAAAGCCAGGGGAGCAAACGGGAUUAGAAACCCCAGUAGUCC